UAGUAACUGCGAGUGAAGAGGGAAAAGCUCAAAUUUAAAAUCUGGCGGGCUCUGCUCGUCCGAGUUGUAAUCUGGAGAAGCGUUUUCCGCGUCGGACCGUGCAUAAGUCUCCUGGAACGGAGCGUCAUAGAGGGUGAGAAUCCCGUCCAUGGCACGGACCGCCGAUGCUUUGUGAUACGUUUUCAAAGAGUCGAGUUGUUUGGGAAUGCAGCUCAAAACGGGUGGUAAAUUCCAUCUAAAGCUAAAUAUUGGCGAGAGACCGAUAGCGAACAAGUACCGUGAGGGAAAGAUGAAAAGCACUUUGGAAAGAGAGUUAAACAGUACGUGAAAUUGUUGAAAGGGAAACGCUUGAAGUCAGUCGCGUCCGACGGAACUCAGCCUUGCUUCGGCCUGGUGUACUUUCUGUCGGACGGGUCAACAUCAGUUUUGACCGGUGGAAAAAGGUAGGGGGAAUGUAGCGCCGUUUCGGCGGCGUGUUAUAGCCCCUUGCUGUAUGCAUCGGUCGGGACUGAGGACCGCAGCACGCCUUUUUGGCCGGGGGUUCGCCCUACGUACCGUGCUUAGGAUGUUGGCAUAAUGGCUUUAAGCGACCCGUCUUGAAACACGGACCAAGGAGUCCAACAUGCUUGCGAGUGUUCGGGUGGAAAACCCUUGCGCGCAAUGAAAGUAACAGUUGGGAACCUCCGCAAGGGGGUGCACCGACGCCCGGCCCUGACGUUCUCUGACGGUGCUGCGGUAGAGCAAGUAUGCUGGGACCCGAAAGAUGGUGAACUAUGCCUGAAUAGGGCGAAGCCAGAGGAAACUCUGGUGGAGGCUCGUAGCGAUUCUGACGUGCAAAUCGAUCGUC
This 847-nucleotide ribosomal RNA is filed under the name Phellinus populicola. Its description in RNAcentral is "eukaryotic LSU rRNA". It matches the Rfam family "Eukaryotic large subunit ribosomal RNA", at positions 81 to 906 of the family's 3401-position model. Lineage: Eukaryota; Fungi; Basidiomycota; Agaricomycetes; Hymenochaetales; Hymenochaetaceae. The record is from RNAcentral.